RNAcentral lists this ribosomal RNA (253 nucleotides) under uncultured bacterium. RNAcentral's name for it is "partial 16S ribosomal RNA". It matches the Rfam family "Bacterial small subunit ribosomal RNA", at positions 524 to 776 of the family's 1533-position model. The record is from RNAcentral.
UACGAAGGGUGCAAGCGUUACUCGGAAUUACUGGGCGUAAAGCGUGCGUAGGUGGUUCGUUAAGUCUGAUGUGAAAGCCCUGGGCUCAACCUGGGAAUGGCAUUGGAUACUGGCGACCUAGAGUGCGGUAGAGGGGUGUGGAAUUCCCGGUGUAGCAGUGAAAUGCGUAGAUAUCGGGAGGAACAUCUGUGGCGAAGGCGACACCCUGGACCAGCACUGACACUGAGGCACGAAAGCGUGGGGAGCAAAAGGG